RNAcentral lists this ribosomal RNA (397 nucleotides) under uncultured bacterium. Its description in RNAcentral is "partial 16S ribosomal RNA". It matches the Rfam family "Bacterial small subunit ribosomal RNA", at positions 523 to 918 of the family's 1533-position model. The record is from RNAcentral.
AUACGUAGGGGGCAAGCGUUAUCCGGAUUUACUGGGUGUAAAGGGAGCGUAGACGGCGAUGCAAGUCUGAAGUGAAAACCCGGGGCUCAACCCCGUGGACUGCUUUGGAAACUGUGUUGCUGGAGUGCAGGAGAGGUGAGUGGAAUUCCUAGUGUAGCGGUGAAAUGCGUAGAUAUUAGGAGGAACACCAGUGGCGAAGGCGGCUCACUGGACUUUAACUGACGUUGAGGCUCGAAAGCGUGGGGAGCAAACAGGAUUAGAUACCCGGGUAGUCCACGCCGUAAACGAUGAAUGCUAGGUGUCGGGGGGCAAAGCCCUUCGGUGCCGCCGCUAACGCAUUAAGCAUUCCACCUGGGGAGUACGUUCGCAAGAAUGAAACUCAAAUGAAUUGACGGGG